Molecule: ribosomal RNA, 526 nt
Filed under: uncultured bacterium
Lineage: Bacteria
Description: partial 16S ribosomal RNA
Rfam family: Bacterial small subunit ribosomal RNA (bases 20-325)
Source: RNAcentral
GACGAACGCUGGCGGCGUGCUUAACACAUGCAAGUCGAACGGAAAGGCCCUGCUUUUGUGGGGUGCUCGAGUGGCGAACGGGUGAGUAACACGUGAGUAACCUGCCCUUGACUUUGGGAUAACUUCAGGAAACUGGGGCUAAUACCGGAUAGGAGCUCCUGCUGCAUGGUGGGGGUUGGAAAGUUUCGGCGGUUGGGGAUGGACUCGCGGCUUAUCAGCUUGUUGGUGGGGUAGUGGCUUACCAAGGCUUUGACGGGUAGCCGGCCUGAGAGGGUGACCGGGGGUGGGAGUGCGGCGUGGCAGAGCGGGAGUGAGAGGCGGCGCGGAGGGCGAGGCGGGGGAGGUGGGGGGAGUGGUGAACGCGGGGGGGGGGCCCGCGGCAGCGGCGGCGGGUGAGGCAGGAUGGCCGGGGGGGGUAAGCCCGAUUGCGGCUGGGAGGAGGCGGGAGGGGCGGUAAGGGGAAAAGAAGCCCUGGCACACUGCGGGCCAGCGGCGGCGGGAAAAAGCGGAAGGGCCCACGCUGAAC